GCUCCUUCUGCGUCCGACACAGGACUCUGCAGUCAAAGUAACUUCACUAUGAGUGAAGAACAGGAGGUCUACCAAGCUGAGGAAAAAAGUAACAUCACAAUAACAUGGCUGCUCCAUUUAGACACCAACAGGCCUCCUGACUUCCUGCAAAUAGACCUAAUGAAUGUGAAAAGGAAGACACAGGUUUUCUUCUAUAACAGCAAGACUGGCACUGAGGUGUAUCCAGAUGAGAACUACAGAGGACGACUGCAGUGUGAUCCACAGCUCGCCAGGAAAGGACGACUUGAAUGUCUCUUAACUGAUCUCAGGCUCAACGACACGGGGAUGUAUCACUGCAUCGUUGUCCUUAACGAAGAAGUUAUUUCCAAAACCUGUGACCUCAGUGUUACAGUUCAUCCUGAACCAGUGGCCAUGAUAUAAAGUACCACAGGCUGUGAAUGCUACAUUAGCAUGUACACUCUCAGCCACUUCAUUAGCAACUUUUAACAAACCUGUGGAAGUGACAUCAAAACCAGCGAACUCUAAGAGGAUCGGCCUCCACGCAGCUCUGGCUUUGUUUGCAGUGGUGAUCAUAGCGCUGCCACUGCGUUACCUGUCUGUAACAUUUUGUAAAUAAUAUUAUUUGUAUUAAUGUGAAGUAGCAGCCCAUUACAGAUUACUCCUGAGGUCACCUCUGACUGUAAUGAGACUAGGGAUGGGUAUCGUUUAGGUUUUAUCCGAUACCGGUGCCAAAUCAGUACUUUUGAAACGGUGCCGGUGCUCAAACCGGUGCUUAAAGAAUGGAGAACACAAAAUUGGUCCAAAAACCUCUCAUGUUCAG
Long non-coding RNA from Astatotilapia calliptera (eastern happy), 820 nucleotides. The record is from Ensembl. Lineage: Eukaryota; Metazoa; Chordata; Actinopteri; Cichliformes; Cichlidae.